AGGAGGAACAACCACAGUGGCGGUGGCCAGCUCUCCAGCCCUGGAUUCAGCUCCCACAGUAUGGAGCUCUCCGUCUGCAGGGCCUGGAGGCUCCGGGGCGGG
RNAcentral lists this microRNA precursor (102 nucleotides) under Canis lupus familiaris (dog). RNAcentral describes it as "mir-8834 microRNA precursor family". It matches the Rfam family "mir-8834 microRNA precursor family". Lineage: Eukaryota; Metazoa; Chordata; Mammalia; Carnivora; Canidae. RNAcentral also lists the same sequence under 1 other name. The record is from Rfam by way of RNAcentral.